This 245-nucleotide ribosomal RNA is filed under the name uncultured bacterium. RNAcentral's name for it is "partial 16S ribosomal RNA". It matches the Rfam family "Bacterial small subunit ribosomal RNA", at positions 796 to 1041 of the family's 1533-position model. The record is from RNAcentral.
CUAGCCGUAAACGAUGGGUACUAGGUGUGGGAGGUAUCGACCCCUUCCGUGCCGGAGUUAACGCAAUAAGUACCCCGCCUGGGGACUACGAUCGCAAGAUUGAAACUCAAAGGAAUUGACGGGGGCCCGCACAAGCGGUGGAGUAUGUGGUUUAAUUCGAAGCAACGCGAAGAACCUUACCUGGACUUGACAUCCCCUGAAUGACUCGUAAUGGAGGAAGCCCUACGGGGCAGGGAGACAGGUGG